Molecule: ribosomal RNA, 253 nt
Filed under: uncultured bacterium
Lineage: Bacteria
Description: partial 16S ribosomal RNA
Rfam family: Bacterial small subunit ribosomal RNA
Source: RNAcentral
UACGAAGGGGGCUAGCGUUGCUCGGAAUCACUGGGCGUAAAGCGCACGUAGGCGGACUCUUAAGUCGGUGGUGAAAUCCUGGAGCUCAACUCCAGAACUGCCUUCGAUACUGAGAGUCUCGAGUCCGAGAGAGGUGAGUGGAACUGCGAGUGUAGAGGUGAAAUUCGUAGAUAUUCGCAAGAACACCAGUGGCGAAGGCGGCUCACUGGCUCGGUACUGACGCUGAGGAGCGAAAGCAUGGGGAGCGAACAGG